CCAUGUCGUGAACCAACCAAACCAGCCAACCAGGGUUCUAUGACUCUGUUCAAAUGUUAAAAAUUAUUUUUUUUAAAUACAAAGUAUAAAACGUGCACCAUCGCCUUUUCCGGAGAGGGAAACGAUUCGUGGGUGGGGAACCGACUUGAUACCGUGUGCUGAAACCCAUAAUAGUGUCACUUGAUUAUCUGGAUUCAUCAGCUUUACAUCGUGUUUCCUCUAAGAUGUAAAUUGCAAUGUAGGAGGAUCCCACGCUUUUUGGUGCUAUGUAUCUGUGGUGGCUGCUAAAUGUACGUUGCCUCAUUUGUUUUGAAAGUUGUCUGGGAAGUAGUGAGGGCUAACCACAUAACAACAAAAGUGUUGGGUUUGUUCGUGUGGGGUCAUGAGGUGGCCAGGUUUUUCCUGUGGUUGCUGCCUGGAGAAUUUACAUGGAGGUAGGGCUCGGCCCCGAUUACCCGAGAACCAGCUUUCUACUGGAAUAUACUGGCGCGACACACAUAAAAUUUUGUUUUUAAAGUUUUCGUUGUUGAUUAGCGCCAGUACCUUCCGGUAGUAAGCUGGUUCUCGGGUAGUCGGGGUAGAUCCCUACAUGGAGGCUUUGCGUGGUGAAAUGGUGUUCAAUGUUACCAACUUCCGUCAUUUUGGUUCCAUUCUGGGGAUGCAUCAGUUUCGUUCCAGGAUUUGUCGGCGUUAGUUUUUCGUCGCCAGUUCGUGACGCUGUUUCAAACGGGUAAUUAUGUUGACAUCACUUUGUCUUGAUCCCGAUCGCUACGCCUCUCCAUAUCCAGUAGGAAGAAAGGUUGUGCCGUAUACGGGGUAGCAGUUUGACAGCGCCUUUAUCCUGUUUUUUUUUUAAAUACUACUCUUUGUAGGGUUGGGUUAGUCUCUGGUGACUGUUGCGGUGGAUUCCGUACCUUAGGUCCUGGGUUUAGCGCAUGUGCGAUGGGUCAUCGCAUUUGUAAUACGUCAUGCGGAUAGCCCAGUGUCGUUGUUCGACGCUUGAGUCUGCUGUGGCGAUUUUUUGUUGGUGUUUCCUUACGGGUUUGGUGUUAAUUUCUUCGUAGGGUUGCGGCAAUCUCUGAUCCUCUCGUCGAGCAGUUCGCUUUCACUCCUCAGGUUUUUGGUUGCUGAAUUUCGCGUAUGAUUAGUCGUUCAGCAUGUCACAUACUGAGCUGGUUGCCGUUGUUCGUGUUCUCUUGGUAUUAAUUAAUUCUUUCCCAUUUUGUUGUUUGAGUGAUAAUUUCCUAUACCGCCUCAGGCCGAAGAAUAGUGUUGAAUGGUUUUCCUUAAUGACGACCGUUAGCUUCAUUCAGGGAUUGUUCAUUUUGUUUUGAAGAUUAUGAUGUCAUGUUAAAUUUUGCUUAGAGUUUGCUGUGGGGAUUUUUAAAUAAAAAAUAAGCACGUUCAUUCCCUUCAACCAAUUGUCAACGCGAGGGAAUUUCCCUUACGACACUUUCAUUGUAGCUGGCAGUGACCGUAAUUAUGGCUUACUUAGCCCAUACUUAUCAAGACCUGCCCUCUUGGUUCUCCGACCUAAAAACUAUCAUCUUCAAAAACUUCCAGGUUUGUUAUGGUCGUAGAACAGCAGACGACGGAGUUCAAAGCGGUAUUGUACCAUCGGGCAGAACCCAAACGGUCGAUGCAUUGAAAAUGUCGGAUCUCUGUUGAUGAAUUUUCACCAGCACUCUUCUACAAGACGCAUGUGAAGCAAACGAUAGCGAAGGAGAUAUGAACUUGAAUUGGUUGUUUACAACCCAUGGCUUUCCCGCAUUCCAGGAUUAGUAUUAUACACCUUUCGCACUUGUACAGAGCGUUCGGAAACAAAAUUAGUUGUGAAUGGGUUUGCUGUUGACAAGCAAGGGAAGGAUUUGGAUUUUUACCAAACUAGACAAGAAUGAAAUUUCUUGUGGCUGAUGGUCUUGUUGACUGACAAGGAAGGAUUUUUUAAACCAAAGUAGACAGGAUAUUUAUUCUAAAUCCUACAAUGUCCUGGUAAUAAAUCACAUGAAAAAUGCUAAAAGGAUUUCGCUACUACAAAUCAUACUGAAUUAGAAUUUUAACUGAGGCUGGGUGCCAAAACAAUGGAAGUGCGAUUGGAAAUAUCCAUGAUUUAUUAACGUUCUCUCAUGUUACGGUGUUUUAUUAAAGGCAAAUUGAAGUGCA
RNAcentral lists this long non-coding RNA (2163 nucleotides) under Daphnia magna. RNAcentral describes it as "uncharacterized LOC116924233, transcript variant X4". The record is from RNAcentral. Lineage: Eukaryota; Metazoa; Arthropoda; Branchiopoda; Diplostraca; Daphniidae.